AACUUUCAACAACGGAUCUCUUGGCUCUUGCAUCGAUGAAGAACGCAGCGAAAUGCGAUAAGUAAUGUGAAUUGCAGAAUUCAGUGAAUCAUCGAAUCUUUGAACGCACCUUGCGCCCCUUGGUAUUCCGAGGGGCAUGCCUGUUUGAGUGUCA
RNAcentral lists this ribosomal RNA (154 nucleotides) under Fomitiporia fissurata. RNAcentral's name for it is "5.8S ribosomal RNA". It matches the Rfam family "5.8S ribosomal RNA". From Rfam's summary of the family: 5.8S ribosomal RNA (5.8S rRNA) is a component of the large subunit of the eukaryotic ribosome. It is transcribed by RNA polymerase I as part of the 45S precursor that also contains 18S and 28S rRNA. Functionally, it is thought that 5.8S rRNA may be involved in ribosome translocation. Lineage: Eukaryota; Fungi; Basidiomycota; Agaricomycetes; Hymenochaetales; Hymenochaetaceae. The record is from RNAcentral.